UGUAAUUUAUGAUGUAACUUUAUGUCAUAUUGUCUGAUUUUGUAGUGAUUAUUACUUAAAUAUCACCAUCUUUCGGCUGAGAUUGCA
Lupinus angustifolius (narrow-leaved blue lupine) is the source of this 87-nucleotide non-coding RNA. The record is from Rfam. Lineage: Eukaryota; Viridiplantae; Streptophyta; Magnoliopsida; Fabales; Fabaceae.